CGAUUCUUUAGAAGGCAGGCGGUUUGAUUGACAGGUGCGAGGAGUACCACCUUUGACCUUUGGUGUCAAGGGUUCCCCUUUGAGCAGCAAUGAACGAUGACCAACCAUCUGGGUACGAGAGCUAGGACUGGGAUUUGUGGGCCUGCUCUCUGUCCGUUACUGAAAUACCAGAACUCGUCGCUGCCUGCCACUUACAGAUGUCAGUGAGCAGAAGUGGAAUCGGGUCUUCAAAAAUGUUCUUUAUUGAGAUCAGAUGGCAGAUUACCACCUUAAAAAUAUUUCCCUUCUCAUCUCUUGUUAGAAGGUUAUUAGGGAGAAUCAGGGGAAGACAAAAGCAUUAGGUCUCCCUAGAACUUAGACUCACCCUUCUGUGGGAUGGUCAGCCCUGCUGGCAUUCUCAAUGUCUGCUUCUCGUUGUUAUCCCUUGCCCCUUUCCCUCAGUGAGUGUCUGGACUCAGGCAAUGCUGGAAAUGCUGCGUCUGUUAGUCUCUGCUGGUGUUGGCCUUGUGCUCCUCUAAGGGCAUCUGGGCUGGGAGGGAGGGGUUAACACAGGACAAACGGUCUUGGGAAGUGCAUGUAUGCUGAGCCACAGAAACAUGUCUGUGUUGUUUCCUCUGCACCGUGUGCAGCACAACAUCUUUAUGAUACAAUUUGAAAGCAUGCCUAUCUGCUCCUGCCAUCCCCCAUGUGUACAAUGAUCUAGUUUCUACAAAACUGAGGAAACAAGUACCCCUGUCCUCCAAAAGGCUUAAUCUAGAAACUUUUAGAUGCCCCAAGUACAAGGUAACAUUUUCCUGAAGUUUCUGGCCCAUUCUCCCACUCUUCAGGCCCAAAUCCUGCUUUGCUUGCUCCUUGUCAGAGUACAUAACUCCUCUCCUUGCCCCUACAGACUUGAAAGUUGGAGUGACCUCUUCCUAGCUCUCGCUUUCUCCACCCCAGGAGUUUCAUAAAUCACCUCAUAAAAACGUAUUUACUGGUUCCCCUGACAUAAUAGCAGAAUAAACUGCUCAAGAUAACCUUGAAGAGUCCCCCCAGAAAACUCAUGCACUGUGCUGCUGGUGGGGCAGUGGGGUUUCCAGCUUGAGUUUCCACCUCUGCCGUUUGACAGUGUCUUCUGGAAUUAAGACAACCGAACCCUCUCUUUUUUUUAUUGAGUUGGAUGGCGAAUCACAGAAUAAAUGCUUUCCCUUGCACUUUAAAAGGAUUUAAUAGGAAAAUAUUUUUCCUACAUCCUGUUUCAAGGGGAAAAUGUAAUUUUAGGGACAUUUUAUAGUUCACAACAGGAUACUGAAGGGCAUUUGGUUUUGCUUUAGUUUAUUAUGACUGUGUUUCUCUAGCAUGAAGUAGUCUUUGUGAUUAUUUAGAUAAGUCUAUAGAUAGUCACAGAAUUAAGGAAACCUAGGACUGGAAAGGCCUCAGAUAUUAGCCAGACCAACACUCUUCAUCUCUCAGAGAACACAAGUGACUUGUCCAAGGUCACAUGUUAAGCUUCUUUAUGGUCUGACUGUGGAGUGCUUUGAGACCAGCUGGGUGCUGGAAGUAGGGGUGGCUAGCAUAACCUUUACAUAGAGAGACUUGUUUUUUGUCUCUGAAAAAAUUUUAAUUUGGGAACUGAAAUACUUUGUGUGUGUGUGUGUGUGUGUGUGUGUGUGUGUGUGUGUGUGCGCGCGCACGUGUGUUUGCACAUGUACACACACACUGCACUGGGUGUAGAAAAUAUGAAAUAAAGCUCAAGUUUCUACAUUAGAACAGGUCAAGAACUAACAGAAAAUGAAUACAAAGAUCAUGGAGCAUCUCUUGGGCCCUUUUGCUACAAUAAAAUGUCUGAGAGAAUAUAAAGAUUUA
Mesocricetus auratus (golden hamster) is the source of this 1845-nucleotide long non-coding RNA. RefSeq lists it as uncharacterized. The record is from RefSeq and is a predicted model, not a curated record. The transcript has 2 exons. NCBI's taxonomy places the organism in Eukaryota, Metazoa, Chordata, Mammalia, Rodentia, Cricetidae.